This 253-nucleotide ribosomal RNA is filed under the name uncultured bacterium. RNAcentral's name for it is "partial 16S ribosomal RNA". It matches the Rfam family "Bacterial small subunit ribosomal RNA", at positions 524 to 776 of the family's 1533-position model. The record is from RNAcentral.
UACGGAGGGUGCAAGCGUUGUUCGGAUUUACUGGGCGUAAAGCGCGCGCAGGUGGGUGAACAAGUCGGAAGUGAAAUCCCAGGGCUCAACCCUGGGGCUGCUCCCGAAACUGUACGCCUAGGGACUGGUAGAGGCUGGUAGAAUUCCCGGUGUAGCGGUUGAAUGCGUAGAGAUCGGGAAGAAUACCCGUGGCGAAGGCGGCCAGCUGGGCCAGGUCCGACACUGAGGCGCGAAAGCGUGGGGAGCAAACAGG